Molecule: ribosomal RNA, 440 nt
Filed under: uncultured bacterium
Lineage: Bacteria
Description: partial 16S ribosomal RNA
Rfam family: Bacterial small subunit ribosomal RNA
Source: RNAcentral
CCUACGGGAGGCAGCAGUGGGGAAUAUUGCACAAUGGGGGAAACCCUGAUGCAGCGACGCCGCGUGAGUGAAGAAGUACUUCGUUAUGUAAAGCUCUAUCAGCAGGGAAGAAAAUGACGGUACGUGAGUAAGAAGCCCCGGCUAACUACGUGCCAGCAGCCGCGGUAAUACGUAGGGGGCAAGGGUUAUCCGGAUUUACUGGGUGUAAAGGGAGCGUAGACGGCAGUGCAAGUCUGGAGUGAAAGGCGGGGGCUCAACCCGCGGACUGCUCUGGAAACUGUACGGCUGGAGUGCAGGAGAGGUAAGUGGAAUUCCUAGUGUAGCGGUGAAAUGCGUAGAUAUUAGGAGGAACACCAGUGGCGAAGGCAGCUUACUGGACUGUAACUGACGUUGAGGCUCGAAAGCGUGGGGAGCAAACAGGAUUAGAUACCCUGGUAGUC